GCAUCUCCCUUAGCCGAGCAGCUCGCUCUUCUUCUGAAAGUUUAGGAGCACCAUUCCUACGCUUAUAUUGUGAUUCAUUCCGACCUUUCACGGAAUAUUUUUCUACGUCUGAACUGUCAUUUUUCCCCUUGACAACCCCUUGCCCAUCCUCUCUGGCAACUUUUAUAGAGUGAUUCUUCUCACCCCUAUGUGCUCUGUCACGUGACACAUCUUCAAAAUCUGAAUGCUUAACAUGGUUCUUCUCACUUCGACGAGCUCUCCUACCCGAUUCAUCUUCAGAAUCUGAAUUCUUAACAUGGUUCUUCUCACUUCGACGUGUUUUGUAAAGUGAUUCAUCUUCGGAAUCUGAAUGAUUAACACGCUUCUUCUCACUUCGAUGUGCUCUGUAAUGUGAUUCAUGUUCAAAAUCUGAAUGCCUAACGGGGUGCUUCUCACUUCGACCUGCUCUGUAAUGCGAUUCGUCUUCUGCAACUAAAUGCUUAACAUGGUUCUUCUCACUUCGCCAUGCUCUGUAACGUGAUUCAUCUGCGGAAUCUGAAUGCCUAACAGGGUUCUUCUCGUUCCGACGUCCUCUGUCACGUGAUUCAUCUUCUGAAUCUGAAUGCUUUGCAUGCUUCUCACUUCUACGUACUAUUUUACGUGAUCCAUCUUCGGAAUCUGAAUUAUUAGCAUAUUUUGAUAUCUUGUGAUGACUACUCUUCCUCCUUUCCACUUCAACAGUUUCAUUUUCUGAAUCGGAUGCUUGUUUGGAUGAUGAGUGCUUGCGGUGUUUGGAUGUGUGAUGGCGCUUCUUCCGAGGUUCCUUCUUGUCAUCUUCUUUCUCUGAGGGCUUCUUUGCGUCUACCUUUUAUUGCAAAAAAUAAAAAUAUGGUCAGCACAAACAUACCAGCUCUAAAUAAAAUCUGGUGUUAAAAGGCCGUGACAUUUUUUUUCCCUUAUUUCAAUGUUUCAAACAUUGUAGCUUGAAUGCUUCUCUUAAACAAAUCAUAAGCAUCUGUAAAACCCUGAUAAACAUAGCAAAAGACUCAAAAUGGGCAUAGCAAUAAAUUGCCAGUGUUUGCUGGGGGCGAAAUUCAUGCCCUGUGAACAGAUAAUCUUCUCAAGUAAAAAAAUUGGAAACAACGAAGACUUGUAGACCUACCAAGAGCAUAAUCCAUAGGACAAAAAGGACUUCCUCUGAAUAGAAGGCUAGCUAUAGUGAUGUAGAACCAGUAUCAGAUUUUAGGGUUUUGUAAUUUGAAGGCAGAAAAGAGAGGUAGGAAAAGAAGAAUUACAAGGAGAAGAUCGCAGGAAGAGAAUAGGCUGCUUGCUUAAUCAUUCAAACCAGUCUAUAUUGAGUUACAAAGCCUCUAUUUAUAAUAAUCUAACCUCAUAGCACAAUAGGACAGUAAUCGUAAUCCCACUCGAAAAAGUAAAGUAAUCAUAAUCCUAGAUGAAAUAGUGGGGCACAUGUGCAACCAAUCCCACAUCGAACAUCAAGCGCAGAAGAAUGGUGUUAUAUUAAACCCAAUGACUCGGACACGACACGGACAAUGCCCCAUUAAACCUGGUAACUUGGGCAUGGCACUGACCCAUAGGACCCACAAUCAAAACCCGCUCUGAUACCCUGUCAGAUAUAUAGAGAGACGGGCCAAUGGCCCACCCUAACUACCCUGAUACUAUCCCAACUUAACCACAUAUUGCUAGGUGUUGUGUUUUACAACAAAAGACCUCGAUGUUAUUAGAGUAGAACCAAUACACAUAUAUAUUGUAUUUAUAUUCUCAAUUCUCUCUCUUAGGCCCUGAAACCUCUGCAUCGAACCAAACUAGCAUUGACGACUAAAUUUUACAUCUACAGUUUUAUUGUCUGCAUUGAGAGAGGCAUACUUGUAUGUAAUUUGGACACUUUCAAAUCAUCAAUUCAUUUAUAAUUACUUUGUCUAACAUAAUAACUAAUCUAAUCUAUUGUUGGUUAGAGAAGAAAAGAAAAGUACUGGUAAAAAUAAAAAUUAGAACUUACAGAUUUGCGAAUCAUGGCCAUCUGGACAGGAUUGUUUUUAAUACGAGAGGGCUUCCUGCUCGCGCUGCCGGAUCAUAAGCAAAGGAUCCGAGUGGAGCUUCCUCCAAGCAUCGUUGGCAGAUUGGG
RNAcentral lists this long non-coding RNA (2125 nucleotides) under Malus domestica (apple). RNAcentral's name for it is "long non-coding RNA (MDOM_LNC003507)". Lineage: Eukaryota; Viridiplantae; Streptophyta; Magnoliopsida; Rosales; Rosaceae. The record is from RNAcentral.